This 253-nucleotide ribosomal RNA is filed under the name uncultured bacterium. RNAcentral describes it as "partial 16S ribosomal RNA". It matches the Rfam family "Bacterial small subunit ribosomal RNA", at positions 524 to 776 of the family's 1533-position model. The record is from RNAcentral.
UACGUAGGGGGCAAGCGUUGUCCGGAUUUAUUGGGCGUAAAGAGCGUGUAGGCGGCCUGAAAGGUCAGCUGUGAAAACUCGAGGCUCAACCUCGAGACGUCGGUUGAAACCAUCUGGCUAGAGUCCGGAAGAGGAGAGUGGAAUUCCCGGUGUAGCGGUGAAAUGCGCAGAUAUCAGGAGGAACACCGGUGGCGAAGGCGGGUCUCUGGGCCGAUACUGACGCUGAGGAGCGAAAGCGUGGGGAGCGAACAGG